UUAAUUGAAGCCAAACCAGAGGCCCCCAUUGUUAAUGGGACCAUUGAUUAAUUAAUUUAAUCCAAUUAAA
Molecule: transfer RNA, 70 nt
Filed under: Megacopta cribriella
Lineage: Eukaryota; Metazoa; Arthropoda; Insecta; Hemiptera; Plataspidae
Description: tRNA-Asn
Source: RNAcentral